AACCUACAGAAAAGAUGAACAUGUUGUGAGCUGUAGGUUUAACAUUGGCUUUUAAGUGAAAGAUCACAUCAAACUUUCUUCCAUCUAUUUUUUAGUCUCCAUAAAUAUUAUUUAUAUCCUUUUGCAGAAGUACCUAUUUGAAACCUGGACAACCUCAAUCCAAACAAAGCUUUCCUGAGGUGGAUUACACUUCCUUCUUUCACUGAGCUCUGCACUGGGGCACAGAAGUCCAACAAAACAGACUGUCUUGAAGACCGAAGCCUAAAUCAGAUAAUAUCAGUGCUACUGUAACAGUGAUAACUUCCUUGGAACUUCAGUAUUGGCUGUGAAAGGUAUCUGCAUUUCUAGAAACAUAGGCUUCUAUUCAACAGAUGGAGAUAUUCUGCCAGCUGGAAAGUAUUGGGUAUCCAGAGAACUAUUUGGAAAAAUGUUGGUCAGUCAUAAGGUUUUUGUAGAGAAUAGUAUAUGCUUCAACUAAGCCUCUGUAAUUUGUUUUUUCUUUUUCUAAAACAAUUGUUAUUUUUAAAGAAAAAAACCCAACAAAACCAAAUGCAUGGAUAUAAUAUGUUCAUAAUUAAAAAAAAAAAAAAUUUAAAAUUGUGUCAUUAUGACAUCUUAAUGUCUUAAUGACAUUCAUUUUGUGGUCCACCACUGUAAUUCUUCCUGAAGAGCUUUCUUCAGUUCAAGGUUUCUUUGUUUAAAGAUUAUCCUGUCAAUAAGUCUAAAUUUGUAUUGAUUUUAGAGUUCCCAGAAAAAAAGCCAACAUUUAGAAAUACAAUUCUGUUCUUGAAAAGGAUCCCUACCAAAUGAGGAAAAAAAACCCCAAAAAACCAUAAUAUGAACCAUGAAGCAAGGCAUUAUAAUUAAAUGAAAUUAACCACACCAAAGUGUUUUGAACAGUCAUCUCCAUCUAUCCUUAAUGAUAUGCAGAAGGGAAUCCUAUAAAAAUGUCAUAUUCAUAUACUCUGAAAAUCCAAGAAUUGGGUCAUACUUUGGGACUCAGAUUUCAUUUCAUGAGAGUGCUUUCAGUCACAGCAUUUGAAGUUUGUUGAUACACCCAAAGAGUGACUUCUUGGGUGUCUGUUCAUUUCAAGAGUCACUUUCACAUUUUAAGGCUCUGAUCCUGUUCUGAGAGGGAGGUGGAUGAGGCCCUGGAUUUCCUUAGGCUGGUGUUGAACUAAUGCUGCUUCUGUGUGAUGAGAUAAAGCCUCCAGCACUGAGCAAUGGAUGAGCUUGGCAGUAAUGCUGCUCAGCUCUCCUGAUAUGGCAGCCCAUGCUGUUUAUUUCCAUGGCUUGAGAUGCCUGUGCAUUUUCUGUAACACUGGAAUGUGCUGAAUUUAGGAUUAUGAGGAUGAUGCACAUAAAGUUAACUGGGUACGUUGAUGAGAGAUAUUUCCCAUGUGUUUCCUGGCUCUUCCUCCUGGCAGGAGUUCCAGUACAUGGUGGGAGUUUCAUACCACCUGGAAGACCUGAAAUUAAAUUGCCAGGAGUAUUAUGAAGAAAUUCUGCCAGAGUCGGUGGAGUGUUAUGGAGCCAUCUGAGUAACUUCCUUAGUUAAGCACUGAAGAAUACUUCAUUUGAGGGAAAUUGAGAUAAGCAGCUCUCUCUGUGUCUCCUUUUCUGCUAUGCAUAGGCAGUGAACCAGUCUGGUGUUGAUGAGCCAAAUAUGAAUUUGUUGUGGCAGCCCUGGGGUUGUUUAUAUACACACAGUGCUCUUGAAAUAGUUACAUCUUAAGAAACCAACAAGUAGAUCAACUACAAGGUGAUCCUGUGUUCCACCACUACACAACUUGGUGGACUGCAAUGCCAGUACAGGAUAUAUGAGAAAAAUAUAUUAGAUCUUUUUCAGUUCAAGUGAGUUUCCAGAAGAAAACGCAGUCACUCUCAGAUAAUUUUCCUUAGAGGUAUUAGCUAAUUUGGAGGCGCUGACAAUAUUGAUGUAAAGUAGAUUGAUUGUUUUUUCUAAUUCCAUUACUUGUGGUGACCUGCAGUCAAUUUUCAUAUCCCAUUUGCUUGCACAGUCACUCAGUAUCACAUGAUUCUUUGCAGCCACCUUUCAGUUUAACUCUCUUGAACCAUAAAGGCAAAUACUUUUAUCUUGCUAUUCACACCUUCACAUGAAUUUUCAAUUGUGCACAAACUUGAGCCAGUCUACAAGUGCCCCCUUGCCUCUACAAAAGGUGACUAUUUUAAAAUGCUGACAAUUUCAAAGAAGACAAAUAAAAUUAGGACUCCCAUAUAUUUACAUCCUGGGCAGGAAGGUCAUGCUAAUGAUUAACUUGCUGUAAGUGAACAUGUGGCUUUCUUGAGUAUUUCUACAGUAUCUGUUCUAAAAAUCAGCUGAUUUUUAAAAUUAGCUGUUAGCAUUACUUAAUUUAGAAAAAAAUUAAUGCUUGAGGGGAAGAUAGGUUUUUUGUGGGUGAUUUUGGAAUAUAUUGUGUCUGAUUACUUUAUGGUAUAUAUUUCUAAAAGUUUUUAUCAUUAUUUUUUACCAUUUUAUCAUAUUUGUGACUUCUUUUUUUUUAAUGUUAUUGUAUAAUUGUAAAUUGAGUGAUUUUUAAAGUGGGAAGACAAAUCCUUGUGCAGUACACAAAAAUACCAUGAUUUAAGAUAUCAAAUAUAGAAAGAAAAUAUAAUACUGCAGUGAGUCAAAGCAUGGAGAUUACAAUAACUGUAAUAACCUGCAGUGAAUCAAACACAGGGAUUUAACAUUAAACUGCUAUCAACCUGAAAUCAAAGCCAGACUCUGGCUGAUUGCUUUAUCCACCUAAGUCAGAUUUACUGAGUGCUUCCCAGAGGUGUCCAGUUCAGCGAGCAGAUUUUGGGCAUCAAAGUUAAGCACUGUGCAGCAGCAGAAAGCAUUAAAGCAGGGCAGUCAGCUCUGGACAAAUAUUUUCAAGUGCCUGAAUGAGCUGCUAACUUUGCUACUGUCUUUCCAAAGAGCAAACAGCAGAAAAAUAAACAUCACCUCCUCUACACAACAAAAGAGUGGCACUUCUGCAGUUAACUGCCUCCAGGGAGUGGUUCUUAGAGCAUUUUGACUCCCAAGCUCUUCAUGGGAAUCAUUUGAGGGAGAGCUGGAGCUAGGGCCCUGUCAAAAGAUACCCGAGGAGCUAUUUAGCGCUCCUGCAAAGCAUCCUAGGUGUUGGAGAAGCACCAUCUUUUCAUGGAAGCAAAAGGAAGCAUAUGAAAAAAAAGAAUUAAAUGCGGUUUUUAGGCAUGUCUAGAGACAUGCUGUUUCCUUUAACUCAGACCUUAUUUCUAUCAGAAUUAAAUACACUAAUUGUUUAUCAUAUAUUGUAUUAUUUUACAUAAUGUUUAACUUUGAAAUAUUUCCCUUUCCUUUUAGAUGAAUUAAUCAACCACUCUAAAUGUGUGAUUGAAGUUAGCUUUUAUCUGAGGACCUCGAAGGAUCACUUUUUAAAUGAUUUCUCAAAUCUGUUGAAAGAGAAGUUUCUGCUCAGGAGUAUAUCUAAAAUAGAAAUUGGUACGAGGCAAUACAGAAAUAUUGAGAAAUUGAGAGGUUUUCAGGGUAUCAGGCUACUAAAAAAAAAAAAAAACCAAACCACUCAAUCACAGAAGGCUAAAUAUUCCACAGCUUAGUAUUUCCCAAAUAAAAAAUUAAUAAUCAGUUUUCUCAACAGUUGUAUAAUAUACCCUUCCUGAAAGAUUGGGGAGAGUCCAAGACACUGAAUGCCUAAUUUUGUUGAAAUGAAACUUUAUAUUCAGGUAUUUGAGAGGUUAGUAACUGUUAAAAUUAGAAAUUCUUUUCUAUUAAAAAUCUUUCGCUGUGAUGAGCUCCAGUGUAACAGUUGCACAUAUGACCAAGUAAAUUAAUCAUGCUUCAUUGCUAUUUACCUUUUCGUUAAUAUAUUGUCGUGAGUUACAAUACCUCCAGUACAUUCAGUUGUAUGAAUCUGUCAUUAACAAUAUACCAAUUAUGAAAUAAAUAUGAGCAGCAGUUAUUGAAAACCUCUCUUAAUUAUCUUGAUAUUUUUGAUCCUGAAAAAUUGCAUUUGGGAAUAAUUUUUUAAUGUAUAAAAUAACAUUUAAUAGCUGGAAAAUGUUUUAAGUUCCUUUCAACUGCAGGUUGAAAGAUAACCAUCUUUUGGGAACAUGCCUCAGCAUUUCCAUGUAUUCACCGUGGUCAAAAUGAAAUGCCUCUGUUAGUUCUUUUGGCAGCUGAAGAAAAGUGAUUCAAACCUUUUGUUACAACAUUCAAGAUUAAGUGAUCACAUCUGUCGAGUAGCUUUUGAAGGAUGCAGUAUAGAUUUGGGCAAUUAGCUAGAAGCUCUCUUUUUUUCAUUAACUUGCAGGCAGGGUAGUCUCUAAAGUGUGUUAUCAGACUUGAGAGUUACAAAUGAUGUUAUCAAAGUUCAAGCCACUUGAUUACAGCAUAACUUUAACUUGCUGAAAUACUCCCAGUGCAGUUUCCUUGCUGUCUAAAAUAAUCAAGCAGAUAAUGGAUUUCACAGCAAUGGAAAACUGUCAGGAACAUUUUGAGGCAUUAAUGACUAUAGACAUAAUAUGUCCUUUUACUGUUUUCAUCUGAAGGAGAAACAUGUAGGUUUUGCCCUUAGCAGUUCCAUCUUCAGGAUGAAAAUUGCAAACAGUACCAGUUAAUUUGCUGAUGCACUGAUGUGGUUUAUAUGACUGUCUGUACAGAAUGGAUUUAUUUUGUUGCUUCUGCAGAAGCUAUCUUUGAAUUUAUUCACAACAAAAAAAGGUUUCAGUUUUUCUAUUCAGAUCUUAAUAUGCUAGAAUUAUGCUAUGAUGCAAGCUAUCUUGUGAAUGAUAAUCCAUUGCAAACAAAAGGGAAACCACUUCUGCAUCUACUACAGAAAACCUUAUGGCAGCUAUUGCAGUUAGUUGGUACUGAUCUGUGCAAAUAAUUUCUUACUCAUUCCAUGAAAUAUAAAAUCUUUUUGACUUGACUUUGGGAUGGAAUUCUACUACUGAAGUAUUGAUCCCAGUGAUAAUUCAUGGUGGGCUACGAUUCAACCAACAACAAAUAAAUAUUAGCUCCAUAUUCAUUGUGCUUACUCUCUGUUGUUUGUGUGUUGAGCAAAUACCCUUUAGAUACUAUGCCUUCCACAGGCAGCAUUUAUCUUUCUAUGCCCAGUAAGUGCCCAUGCAAGAAAUGCCCAGAUGCACUUUUUUAGGUGGACUCAGUUUGCUCCACAAAUAUACAUCAUUUGCACUUCAAACACUGCAGCACUCAAGACUGUAAUGAUUCUUAGGCUUCUUAGUCUUUAGAGGUGCUACAUAAGUUAUUACUGUUUGAAGCUAGCCACAGAAUUUUACUUCAGUGAAACUGAACUUUCAUUUUUUUGAUCUUCAGUAAAAAUAGUUCAACUUCAGUCAAAGAGGAAUGAAUCCAGUAAAAUACUUGUUUCACUUUUCUGCCUCAGUGUGAGCAGGAUAGUCAGGCAUCCUAACAUAAUCACAGUCAGCAUUCAAUUUGAUAUUGAAGGAACUUUGCCCUCAUUUUGAAGCUACCAGAGUCUUUGCUCUUAAAAUAGAGUUUGCUUUACCCAAGUCCUUUUUCUGCAAUUUCCACAGCAACUCCAAAGAUACCAGGAAACAGAUUCCCAUGUCAAAGCUGAAGUCCCUGUACAUUUCUCAGAGCAUCUGUUUUGUAACACAAACCAGUUCUCACAAAAAAAGCUGCAUUUCCUGGUUGCACAGUCAUUGUAAACUUUCCAGAUAUUUCAGUUCUGCCUACCCUUUCAUCACCUGUGUGCACAGCACAAAAAUACUGUAUUUCAACAAGAAAUCUCUCAAGCA
Long non-coding RNA from Haemorhous mexicanus (house finch), 5787 nucleotides. RefSeq lists it as uncharacterized. The record is from RefSeq and is a predicted model, not a curated record. NCBI's taxonomy places the organism in Eukaryota, Metazoa, Chordata, Aves, Passeriformes, Fringillidae. The transcript has 2 exons.